CCAUUUACUAAGCCUAAAUUUCUCUCUCUUCAUUUCUCUUCUCACUCUCUCUUCACUCUCUCUACCGUCGCCCCUCCACCGUCGUCGAAAAUCUCUACCGCCGGCAGACCACCUCCGAACACUUCAAAUUCACAACAUGUAAUCUCUGCAACUUCAUCUUUCCAUAUCUCCAAAACCAAAUCCUUCAAAACCCCCCUCAAACUCCUUGAAUCUCAUAUCUAGGAAACUUUUUCGUCACUUUUUUGCCCAAAUUCUUGAAGCUCCAACCACUACCACCCCACAAUACCUACAUCAACAGAUAGAGCUCCUCAAGACCUAGCUAUUGAUGCCAAUUUCACCUGAAAAUCCGGCGACCAAAAUCCGACCAAAUUCCGGCGACUUCCCCGAACACCCUCGCUUGGCACACAACUAUUGUAUUGGCCACUUGAAUUGUAAAAUGGUAAUAAUCCUAUUCUUUUUGUAUUGCUGAUUUUUUAUUUUUAUUUUUAUUUUUUCAGAUUUUACUUUGUCUCUUAUUAAUUAUUUUAGCAUUAGUUUUUGAUGUUUGAAAUUCUAAUUUUUUUUGUUUUUGCACUUAUUGAAGUAGUAGAAUAGUUUUGUAUUAAUGAAAAUGAUGUAGUGAAAGAAUACUUGAGAGUAUAGGGUACUUGUUUGGAGGCUUAUUUACUGCUUCAAGACUUUUUUGAGUACAAAACUCAAAAGUCUUUUGUUUGGUAAGAAAAUAUAGACUUUUGGACAGUUUUUGAACAAAAGUCUAUCUUUGAAUAGUGAAGAGCAGAUUUUAGUUAAAAUACUCUUUUGGAUAAGAUUGAACAAAAAAGUCUUGCCUUUUGAAUUUAAGAGCAGAUUUUUGUGGCAAAAUCUGUCAAAAAAGAUUGAUUUUUAAUUUUGAAAAGUUGGUUGUUUCUCAUAUAAAUAGGAAGACAUCUUUUACACAUGGUGGUGGGAAAAAACAUUUUUUUUACACAUCUGAUAGAGUAAAAUAUCAGUUGAACACUCAUAGUAAGUUGCAAAACCUGAGAGCUGUUUGAGUGUUAGCCAAUCUUGUGGAAAGACUUAGCGAAGAUACUUAAAGUGCUUGAAGCCAAUCUUGUUUCUUUCUUUCUCAAGCCAUUGAAUUUUUGGUCAAGUUUUUGGUUUACUUUGGUUUAAAUUGUUGUUGACAUUGUUGUUGCGUUGCUGUUGUUACUGACUUUAUUUGUUAAAAUUCAUUUCGUUCUCGGUUGAUAUCUUAUUUUCUGCUGACCAGGUAAUUCCCUCAACUAAUGUACUACUUUUGGGUCAAGAAUGAAUGAAAAUGAGAUGAUUCAAGCUUCCUUAUUUUAAGCUAUGCCUUGAAUAACAUUCAGUUCAGGUACUAUGAUUGACGUAUGAAUGAGCAUUUGUAAUAUAAUAGCUAUCAAUAUGGCAAAGCUUUCACUCUGUUUUUUUUUUUGCCAAGUUGUUAGAUUCGGAAACACAAGUUAUGUUGUUGUUUAAACGGUAAAUUUCAUGGUGGGCAUAUUUUAGUUUAUUUUUUUCAAUUUAAAACUAUUUCCACUCUCCUUUCAAAUGUUGAAAAAAUAUUUUUCCUGUCAUUGGAUUAAUUGUUGAUGAAAGUGUGAAAAAUAUGUAGGUUUAAAUAAUGAGUAUGCUAGUAAGGUUUAGAAAGAAUAUUUUUUUUUGUGAGUGCAUGAAGUGUGCUGGUGAAGUUUUAAUGGAGAGAAUUAGUGGAAAGAAUAUUUUGGGUAGCUUAUGUCGGUUACAAUCCGUACAGUUAGCUCGUUAGUGAAAUUGUCCUCUGUUAAGUAGUAUCUUUAUUUGACAUUUAAUCUUUUGAAAUUCAUUGAAUAAUUACAUGAUGUGAAUCGGGAUGUUUAGUUAUUUUGUUCUUAAGAAAACUGGAUAUGUUGUGAUUUUUUAAUGAUAAAUGGAACAUGGUUCAUCAACAAAUAAAAAUAUUGUUUGAUUUGUUAGUGUUUUGUUAAAUCUUGAAAUAAGAUAUGUUGUCUUAGAUAAUCUGAUAUGUGGGAAAAAUUGAAUAUUGAGAACGAGACUUACUAAUUGCUUAAAUUGAAAUUUUAUUUGAGCAAGUUAACUAGGUAGUAGGAUUAAGUAAAUCAAAGUUUGAAUUAAUUAAUUAUUCUUUUCUAAAUCAUAACAAAGCUGGCCCAUAUCUUUUAACAAGCAGUCCCUUUUUACUUCAAUAAGAUAGCUUUUUUCUUUAAAAUAAUAAAAGUUGGCCCAACAUUAUUUUUCUAUAUUUCCCCCUACUAAUUAGUUCCAAAAUCAGAUUUUUUUACUAGUUUAAUAGCUUAAUAACCUUUAAUGAGUUAAUUAAAUACAAUGCAAUUUUAGGACGCUCUAAAUAUAGACAAUGUGUUCACACGAUCUUUGAUCGUUUUUUUAAAAUAAAAAUGGUCAUGUGUGCAUCACCUCUCCUUGACUCUAAAAUAAUAAUUCGUGUUUUCUAGUUAAUCGUAUUUGAUCAUGUGUUCAUAUCCGUUCCUAGGUCAAAUGCGCAUAAUCAAAUAAGGACCAUGUGUGCUUACACAUUCCUCGGUCAAAAUAAAUUAUUAAGCAGUGCUAGACAAUAGUAUUUUUUAAGGCAAAUAAAUCACAAUUUAUCAAGAAUUAAUUCAUGCCAAGUUCAAGUUAAUAAAGCGACCGUGCUAGAACCACGGGACUCGGAGAAUGUCUUACACCUUCUCCAUGGUUAACAGAAUUCCUUAUCCGAACUUUAUUUUCGCAGACCAACAUGAAAAGAAUUAAAUCUUCCUUUGAAUAAGGAUUCAAAUAAAAGGUGACUUGGGACACCGACAAAAAUCAAUUCCAAGUGGCUACUCUGUAAAUAAAUUAAUUCCUAUUCAAGUUUGUCACUUAAAUUGGAAAAACCCUUUAACCCACAAUCCAUAAUAUUACAUUAUCUUUUGGGGAUAAAAAGAGGUGUGACAGCUCUGACGACUCUGUUGGGGACCUAUAAGAAUUCGAUCUUGUACAUUGAUUAAUUUUGGAUUUUAUUAUUUUUGGAUAUUACUGUGUAUGUGAGCCUAAUGUACUAAUUGUCGCUCAUUUACUUUUUUGAUAUUGUUUUAACUGUAUAUAUAAAUUGUCUUCUCUCGCACCCAAUCUGACUCUUUUGAUAUGUAAUAGUGUUGUAUGUGCUGACUAGCUCCACAAAAUUUUCUGUCUAAGACAAAGACAGUGUGCAGACCUGCUCCUGGUGAAGGAUUUAGUCACAUAUGUUUAGGUGGGGAGAACCACCAGUAAAGCCGGAACCGUUCUACGGCCAGUACGCUGACGCUCCUUGGCUCGAG
This 3296-nucleotide long non-coding RNA is filed under the name Nicotiana tabacum (common tobacco). Its description in RNAcentral is "long non-coding RNA (NTAB_LNC015641)". Lineage: Eukaryota; Viridiplantae; Streptophyta; Magnoliopsida; Solanales; Solanaceae. The record is from RNAcentral.